Molecule: long non-coding RNA, 34581 nt
Filed under: Olea europaea (common olive)
Lineage: Eukaryota; Viridiplantae; Streptophyta; Magnoliopsida; Lamiales; Oleaceae
Description: long non-coding RNA (OEUR_LNC008623)
Source: RNAcentral
CUUUUAGUAUGUUAUUAUUAGAUUUAAAUGCAUACCCUUCAUCUUCAAGAAUCCCUAAUGAAAUAAGGUUUCUUUUUAAGUUUGGGACAUGCCUAACAUUCUUGAUCUGUCUCACAAUGUCAUCAUGCAUUUUAAUAGCAAUGUCACAAAUUCCCUGUACUAUUUGGGAAUUGUUGUCUCCCAUGUACACUUUCUUGGAUUCAAUUGGAUUGUAAUUGUAGAACCAAGAUCUAUUAGGACUCAUGUGAAAUGUGCAUCCUGAGUUUAAGAUCCAAUCCUUGUCACUAUCAUCAUUGGACACAAUCAUUACAAGAAGACUAUCCAGAUCAUGAUUGAAGUAACAUUGUUCAGGUCAACAAUGCUUUGGUAUUUGUGUUUCCUUUGCAAUUCAAAACAGUCUCUUAAAGUGCCCAAGUUUUUCACAGUGAUAGCACUUUUUAUUACUCUUAUCCCUAGAUUUGGAUCUACCUCUGGAUUUAGAUUUAGAUUUUCUAUUUUGGGUAUUAUUUUCUUUCUUGUCUGUUCUCCCUCUCACAAACAUGCCAUCUUUUAUUGUAUUAGAUUUAGUUUCUUUCUUGAUCUCUAGUUCUCUAGCUCUUAAAGCAUUUGUUACUAUAGUCUAAAUUAGAGUAUCUCUUGAGUAUUUUAUGGCAUUUUUAAUAUCCUUAUAAGAUUUAGGUAGUAAGUUAAGUAGUAUAACUGCAAGGUCUUCAUCAUCAUAUUUCUGUCAUUAUGUACAAGACUCUUAACUAAAAUACUAAAAUCACUCAAGUUUGCUUCUAGGUCUUUCCCAGUGUCCAUCUUAAAACUGAAUAAUUUCUCUAGCAAAUAGAUUAUAUUGGGCAAUGUCAUAAUUAAGAACAAUGCUUCAAGUGCAGUCCAUAAGGCUCUAGGUGUUUCAGAAUCUUCGUCUUGUCUCAUAUUGUUGUCAGAUAAAUGCUAGAUAAUUGGACUAUAAGCAAUUUUGUUUAUUUCUAGAAUUUCAUCAGGUUUAGCUUUUAAUUUAGCAGAAAAAGUUUCAGGAUCAUCUAGGGCCUUAGCAACCCUUUGUUGGACCAAUAUACCCUUCAUUUUCUACUUCAAUAUCAAGUAUUCCCAUUUUCCAUCGAAUUGAGACAACUCAAACUUCGAAUCCAUUACAGGUUCUAUAAAAGGGUUGUGAUUACCUGUCGACAUAAGUGAUUCUUAAUAGUUGGUCACUUAAGUGCAGGAAAGGUUUUGAAAAAACUUUGCAACAAUUAAAAGGUAAACUGACUUAAGAAUGACAAUAUAGUAUCAACAAGAGUAUGCAAGCUGUCAAAACAAAGUCAACAAGUAAUUAAUCUCAAGAUCGCAUAAUACAAUAUAUUGAGAUUACCAACUUAAAACAUGCCUCAAUUCCAUCUCAUACAGAUAUCAUAUACAAGAAUGAAAUUGUUCUUAAAAAAUUUUCCCAUGACGUAUCACCCAAUCUUUAAGAACAACAAAUGCAUGCUUUUUAGUUAUUAUGAGUAAAGUCAAAAUUAGAAUAGUCUCUCCCACUGCACGGUUGACUUAUUAAAAUUCAAAUACUUAGACCACCUUCAAGAAACCCAUUUGAGCUCAAGAUGCUAAGAUCACCAGUUAUGGCUUUCAGCCACUGCACUUAUCAGAAAAUUGAUCAGUAAUAAUUUCCAGAAAAAUAUUCAAUAUAUAAAAAAAUAUGAAUUAAAGUGGAUCAAGAAGAUGAUUCUCUUAGAGGAAAUCGUGACUCGAAGCCCUAAUAGCUUCGAUACCAGAUUUGUAAGGAUUUACCCAUUUGUUUCAAUGCUCGUGUCAGAAUAAACAAUCAAUCAAGCACAAAAGUAGUAAAGAGCACAAACGAUUGUUUACCCAGUUUGGCGAAAAAUGCAUAAUCUAGGGGCUUAGAGGCUGGCCCGUUCAUUAUGUGCAAAAUAACCUUCCAAGAGACAGAGACCACACUCAGAUACAGGAUCCGAUCAUCAAUCCAAAAGAUCUCAAUCAAACAUUAAUCACCAAUAAACCAAGGACCCUAUUGCCUAAUCAAAAUAGAUAUAUGCCUUACAAUCUACCAAAUUACUGUAGCAAGAUAUAUUGUACAAGGUUCUUCAAGAUUAACCAAGAUCUCAUGUAAGAUCACAAGAAACAUAAAUUAAAAAUAGAUGAAGAAGAAAAGUCUCUGAAAGAACAAGAAAGAGAGAUCUCAAGAAGAACCCAGAAGUUGAAAAGCCAAGAUUGAAAUGACCGUCUUGCGAUUGGCCCCUCGAGUACCAAAUUCGUUGUUGAUUUAUCCUCAGCCAUUGAUCAAAUAUGGACGGCUAGGAUGUGAUUUAAAGAAACACAACUCGAGUGAAGCUCCAACCGCCAAUUGGGGGUUGCCAUGUGGGCCUUCCACAUCCAAAAGACGAUUUCACCCUUACAAAAGUGUUGAUUUGAGAAACAUGUUUUCACGAACACUAUAACAAUAUAUCUUUUUUAUUGUUCGAAAAUAUAUUUAUUUUAUGAAAUUUUUAAAAUUGCAUUUGGUACUAUAAUUUGUAUGUAUUAUUAAAUAAUAUUUAAAUUGAUUUAAAAUUUAAAAUAAUAAAACACUUUUUAACCAUUUUUAUACCUUAGCUUCACCUAGACUCAAAUCAAGCCUCCACGCAUUAUUACACAUUACGCUUUUUAGAACACUGCUUGUAAGUAUGCAUAUCUCAAGUAAUCUCAGUACCAAGACGCAAUAAACUCAAUGUUCAAAAAGCAAAAGUGUUUCAUCCAACAAUGCAAUUUGUAUAUAUCUUCUAAAGAAAAUUAGAUAAUCAUGUAUGGAGACAUAACUCUCUCACUGCGUAAAAUCGUGUUUUCCAAUAACUCUAUCCAUGAGGAAUGGCAAGUCGAAUCAAAUCAAUUCCCAUGGAGCAGUGGGGACGAGGCACAGCAAAACACAUAUGGCAUGAAAAGCUUUAUUGUUUUGCAAACAAGAAGCGAUAAAUUAAAGCCUUGCUUUGCUCUCCCACUUGCAAAUUUCUUUUCUGGAAAGUAUUCAACAAAAUACACAGAAAUUAAGAAAAAGUAUGUAUAGACAGAAAGAAAAAUAUAUCAAGUUGGGUUCUGAUCGUACAGCAAGUUGGUUGUCAAUGUCAAGUUGGAGUAGCAGGUUUCCCAUUUCCACAAAUAAACAGGGUUUUUAAUAUAAAAAUAAACUGGUUUUCUAUCUUAGCAUUGGAAAUCUAGGUGCCCUGUCAAGGAAAUGCCUUAUUGCAUCGAUUGAUGCUGAUAGGUUCGAGAUAUUUACUGUUUAUGAUAUUUAUCAAAUUUUGCAUGGCUGAAUUCUAACCUACUUUACCUGUUAGGUAAGUUUUCGGCAAAACGACCUCUUAGGAGCGAAAAGAUGGGAGAUGCAAUGGCCAAGGACUAUGUGAUGCUAAAGUUAGAUGAGGUCGUAAGGAAAUUUGCCUGUAUAAACGCUUAAAGUGCUAGAGAAUGUGGAUCGAAAUUCGUCUAUUUUUAAUUUAUAAAAUCUUUUUCGUCAGUCAUUAGAAUGACAAGUUUAACUUUGCCUUGUAACUUUUGCCGCGUAGAUGGGAUUUAAUUAAGUUGCUAUCGGUCGAGAAAGUUUAAAGAUACUAAGACCAAAGUCAUAAGAAUCGAGGACAUCAUUUUUGUGUUUUUUGUUGAUAGAUAUAACCCUAUUUUUCAAUAAUACAUUUUUCUUUAAACUUAUUUUCAACAAUUCUCUUAAUAAAAUAACAUUACACAUAAAACUAAAACUUUUUCUUAUUUUUUAGCUACACAUUCUACAAAAAUUCACAAUAUAAAAUCUAUUUUUAUCAAAUAAUAGGGUUCAAACAAGGGCAUUGUUAGUUUAGGCCAUUUAGGUAGGAAAUACGCUAGGUUUAGGUUUGGACCACAAAGCUUUCUCAUUGUGCUGUAAAUAACACCAAGGCCUAUAAAAAUAAAAAUUUUAGUAAAUUUUAAUAAAAGUUGAUAAAAUAUGUGAUUGAAAAAUUGAUAUAUAUGUAGAUUCCAUACAAUUUAUGUCAAAAUUUAUUUUAAUUGUUAAUUUAGAUUUUCAUCAAUUUUUUUUCGCGCUAAACCAAAUAGAGGCUUAUGCUGAAGCUCCCAAACUUGUACCAUAAUGGUUCGACUAUUAUUGUACUCAGCUAAGUUGGCAAUCCAUGUCACUUUGCGACUCGUGUAAAAUAUUUAUUAUUUUCAUUAAAAUAAUAAAACAUAGAAUUCAAAAAAUAAAAUAAAUUAUCAACUUCGGGACUCAAUCUAAAUCAUCUAUCAUUUUUACUAAAUUAAUAAAACAUAGAAAUCAAAAAAUAAAAUGAAUUAUGAUGAUCAUAAGAUUUUAGGUUUUCAAUUUCAUUUCAAUAUAUGACGAAUGAAAGUGUAAGAAAUGCUAAAUUAUGUACCGCUCUCUUUAUGCAUAAUGUAAUUUCUCAUGAUACAUGGGAAGAGAAUAACGUCUGAUUUUGACGAAAAAAUUCACACGAACGGCUGGAUGGUUCAAGACAUCGCGUUCACCAACUAGCCUAGUAAAUCCGAUUGUAUUCAACUAAAGAAGGUUCAAGGCCACAAGCUACCUAUCUUGAUGCUACGACUUGUCGUGUGUACUCCGUUUGUUAGAGUCUGCAUUUCAUUUUCAUUGCAUUCGCUUUGUGUUGCGCAUGCGAUAGUUCAUGAUUGGAAGUGGGGGAUUGUUGGAUAUUGGUUAAAUAAAUUGAGAAUUGAAAAUCGAUUAAAGUUCGUAUCGAAUUCGGCCAAAUAUUCAAAAGCUCGACUCAAUCCGUUUAGGCAAAAUUGUUUGCCACUUCGCCGAAAGAGAAUUUUGAUUUCUCUGCAUGUAUUGAAGGGUAUAUUUGGCAUUUCGAAAACCAAUAUCGGAUGAAUGAGAAAUUACGAAAAAGACCUCAACCAUUAGCGAAUAGACACCUUUUCAUAAAUAUGCAUUGUUUGGAAAUGAUGCAUGGUUUGGUCUCAACCAUUUCGUCCACACCCCUUCAUGGUCUAUAAAUAGGACCCUUUGGGUGUCCUAUUCCUCACAGUUUGAUAUACAAAACGUUUCUCAUCCUCUCUUCUAUCCAAAAUCAAAAUCAUUUCGUUUAUUUUGAUUUUCUUUCAUUUCAUCCUUGGAGUACAUAAGCCUAAAUUGGUUCGUUGUACUUGUGUUUUGGAGUGCUACAAACACAAGUGUAGCCGUUGUAUCUUGGGAGUCGAUUGCCGAAAUUCGUAGGCACCGUUGCGGGGCAAAUUCGACUUAAGGACAAAGAGUCCAACUCUUGCCUCGGCUUUGUCACCAUCAUUAUACUUAUUUCAGCGUCACUAUUCACAAAAUUCAUCCAACACUUAUUAUAAGGAGCUUUUGUGACAGCUAGACUCAAUUGUACACUAGUACAAAUUCAUGUAUCCCAGCUCUGUAACAGGAAAAAUAUUUUACAGUUAAAAAAUUAGGUUCUCUUCUAGUUUUUUUCAUUAAAAAUAAAAAAAUAAUUUCCUAAGAUAUAGACAGCCACAAAAAUAUGGGCUUUAUUUGAUGUACAUAAUUUUUUUGUACAUCAAUGUGUCCCACACUAGGUCGAUCGAAUAUUUCAUUCAAAUGGAUUCCACCACAUGUGAGUAUAUGGAUACCUUAAUAUGCAAAAAAUUUUGUACAUGUAGGUUUAUCCGAGAAAUAUUGUAUAGAAAUUGAAUUAUAAAAUUAUCAUAUGUCAUCCAAGAUUUCGAGCCUCUCAGUACUUGACGCCGCCGGUAAGCCAGACACCACGUGCACCUCCCGGAGCGUCCCCACGUUACCGUCGCCGAUCACGUGACAGCUCUUGAGGAAGUGCUUGUACGCCUGCGGUUUGUCGAAGCGGCGGACGACGGACCACACGGUUGCAACCGGCGCAUCAAUAGUUUGCACCACCGAGGAUGAGCACUGGUUGGGUGCCACCGCGUGCGUGUGGUGGUGCAACACGUUAUCCGGCACAUAAAUUUCGCUAGACACCGGGGUAACCCAUGUGGGUGUCGCUUGUUUAUGAUGGAAAUUGGCGGCGGCGCAGGUGGCGACUGUAUCAGUAAUCGGAUUGAUUCUAUGAAGCUGAAGAGAAGAAGGCAUUUCUAUAUUUCACGACUCUUCUCACUUUGUUGGAUCUGUUCUAAUGAGAACGAAUUGUGAAUUUGCAAUGGGAUGUGUGAUGUUAUAUAAAAUCCCAAUUCGUUCUACAUUCAAAUAUAUCAGAUACGCAACUAACGCAAGUGUAGAGAGAGUACAAAUCUUUGUCUACUUGUAAUAGUUUUGUUUAUAUAUAUAUAUAUUUUACAAAGCUUAAAUGGGUGGGGGUGACGUGGGGGUGUGCAAGUGGAUGGGCAACUUGCAUAGUCAUAUUGGACGCAGUCAUAAUUGAAAUUGAUCCAAACAUGGGCUAUAAUUACGUGAUCUGCCCAGGAGUUGGUUAUCCUAGGUUUUUAAAAUGAAAUGACUGAAAUGGCCUUGAGGAGAAAGUUAAUUACUUGAUUUAGGGGGAGCACGAAGAGUCAAGAUCGUAGAGAAAUGGAGAACGUCCAUUAAAGAAUUACUUGGUUUUCUCAUAGCAUCUUCAAUUGUGGCGUAAAAUAAAGAAUUAGAUUUUCAAGGUGGUCGAAAAUAUCUCCAAUUAGGGGUGGACGUGGUUCAUAUGGUUUUGGUUCCAAGAGAACCGAAUCGAACUAUGAACCAAUGAUUUUUUUUAUAAUGGAACCAAAUAAUUUUUUUAAAUAUAUGAAAUGACACUAAACCCUGGUUUGGUUUGGUUCUGAUUUCAUUUCUUAUAUUUUUAGAUUUGCAUCAUAUAAAUUAGUAAUGUAUACUUAAAUAAGAAAAUAAACAUCAAACAUUUAGGAAGUUCAAAUUUCAAUCAUCGAGAUAAAAAAAAAAAUCAUAACUAAAAAAUAAAAUUUAUUCAUAAUUUGAAUACACAAAUCAAUUUUCGUUUUCAUACAAAAAAUUGUUUAAUAAAUAAUAACAAUGAUUUACUAAAUUAAUUGCAGGAAUUUUGAAGGCACACCCCUAUAAUAAAGAAUGAAUUAUCAAAAUUUUGACAGCUCACUUCUAUAGGUAACAUUAACCGUUUAAUAUUUCAUGAAUGUUUAUUAGGUUUUUCUCUAUUUGUGAAGAACACAAAUAACUCAUCGAACAAUCAAGGUAAAAAAGAGUAUAGAAACUUUUUAAGUAAUUGACCACUUUCAUUUUCCGAUCUUAAAUGACACUCCACUGACUUGAUGAAAUGCGGUACCAGUAUGCUGCGACGUUAUGUAAUUCGAAAAGGAGUGAAGGAAAAAUAAUUGAACUGAACACAAGAUUAGAGUGUAAACAACUAAUGAGUUGUUUAUCUCUAAUGACCCAAAAUUGAUUAAAAAAUUGUAUUCAAUUAAUAGGCUAUCUUCAAUGAAUAUAAAAAUAGGGUCUCCACUAAUUAUUAUAUAUAAAAUUAAAUAUUAAUUUUGGUUCUGAUUCUGGUUUUUGAACUAGAACUGAACCAGAACCAGAACCAGAACCAGAACCAGAACCAGAACGAAAUGAUUCUUGGUUCACAGAACCAAAAUCAUUAAUUUUUUUGAUAGAACCGAACCGCUUGGUUUGGUUUGGUUCUGAUUUGGUUUGGACAUUUUGUCCACCCUUAUCUCCAAUGAAAAGACUCAGAUUACAUUUUUCGAUAUGAAAUGUAAAAAAAAUAAAUAUAUAAAUUUAUAUAUUUUCUUACAUUCAUAAGAGGCAAAAGGUGGAUUUAAAUUUUCCUGUUAGAGUCAAAUUUGAAUUUAUAUCCACUUGAAGCACUAGUUGAUAGGUUAAAUGAAAGGUGAUAUGAAAUGAGUUAUUUAAUUCUACCUUUCAAUUAAUGUCACAUUGACGCCACCUAAAUUGAGGUUGCAACUUGAAUGGGGGCUAAAUAGUAUUACUUGAAUAUAAAUGUUGACGCAAAAAUAAUUUUGAAGAUAUCAGUAUACACUCAAUUUUAUUCCACCAUUGAGAAUGCUCUUAAGUGGAAAUUAUCUCUUUUAUAGUUUUACAGUCAAUUCUUACAUAGUAAUUUUGUUCAUAACAUAACUAAUUAAUGCGAGUCGAGAUAUUUUUCGUGUCUUAAAUUUUUAUUUUUAUUUAUGUCAUCAUUAUUAUCCGAGUGCCUAGUUUCCCCCACUUUUAUGGCGAUGACCUCCCCUAUAUCCGUCCUCGUGGCCCAUGAAAUUAGGGAGAGAAGGAUGUCUCUAUUUUGCAAACCCAAUAAAUCUUCUUGUACACCAUGGUGUAAAGCCCUCUCACAAUGUGAGGGGGCUCACAUGAAUUUCAUAAUUGUUUGUGAGAGGGCUCACAUGAAUUUCAUAAUUGUGGACCCCCUAAUUGUGAUAGGGGUGUAAGGGUACACCAAACACUACUGCAAACCGAGGGCCUAAAUGGACUUCUACUGAAAUUUGAAUUGGGUCAUCAAUUUUAUUUGUCUCAAUUGAAUUAGUGAAUUUCAAUUUGAUUUUAAAUUUGACCACUUUGUCACUCGUUGUACCCAAAAUGAACUUUGCUAUUUAUUCACUGAUUUUUGACACUUUUGGUUGAUACUUGCAUUAUUGUCAAGUGUCAAUUGGAUGAAAAAUCUGCUUGAUUUAAACUAUUCAAUAGAGUAAAACCACGCAGUAAUGUGUAAACCAAAGUGUACGUCACAGUGUACAUGUAACAAGGUUCAUCCAAAAUUAAAUAAAUUUGCUUAAUUGAUAGUCAUGGAUCAACGGAUCCUCCACAUAUCGUGGCACGCUUAUUUGUUAUUAUGCCACGCCAUUAACAUGUUUACAAAAUAUAUAUAUAUAUAUAUAUAUAUAUAUAUAUAUAAGGGAUGCUAGUUGACAUAAUAAUAUAUGAUGGUGAAAUUAGAAUUCAAAUUAAUGCUUAAUUACCCUAUUGAGACGUAUUAAAAUACUAGUUUGAGUUGAACAUGCAUUGUACGUUACUCUUAAAUACUUUAUAAGUUUUGUAAAAGUAAUAUUUCAUGUCAAUUUGUUAGGAUGAUUUGAUGAGUCUCAAACGAACUAAACAAAAUAUAAUUUAGGAUAGAUAUUUAAGAGAAGCAAAUUGUACUUUCAAAUCUCAACUUCUAUAAUUUUAAUUUUUUGUGAUGGUGAGCAACAUUUUUAUAUUACAUUUGGUAUAUAAGAAUUAAUUGCAAAUACACGAAUUUAAACGUCAGUUAAAAUUUCUAGAUACAUAAAUAGAAAUAAAUUCAUCUAUAAUAAUUAUAGAUUUAUGUAGAUCAAAAUUCAUUGAGCCAAAUUAAUGUGAAUGUUAAUUAAUUGUGAAUUAGAAAUUUAUAAAUGACAAGAAUUUUGUAGCAUUUAUUACAUAUUGAAAAAUAAAAAAUCAGAUAUUAUUGAAAUAACUAAAUUGUCGUAAGGUUAAAAUCACCAAAAAAAGGAUUUCCACUUGAUGUUGUAUUUAAUAUACUAUAAAUAAUUGACCCAAUUCAGAUUUGGUUAGAAGAAUAGUGACCACAGAAGACAUAUACCCAUAAACCACGUAAGGUAGGAGAAAAAUCUUUUUCCUAAAAAUUGAAUUUUUAAUAGAUUUUGAUAAAAGUUAAUGAAAUAUAAGGUUGAAAAAUUGAUAAAAGUUGUGAAUUCUAAGAAAUAUAUAAUUAAAAAUAAGUUUGAGAAAAAAAUGAAUUUAAAAAAUAGGAUUCAAGCAUGAGCUCAGUAGGUGGUAGAACUUAAUUUUGAAUUGGCAUCCUUAGUAACCUCCGUAAAGUUUUGAAUUGAUGAAUAGUCAAGAUCAUGAUUAAAUAAAGCUCGUGUAGUCCACCAAGAAAAGCCUAUUUAGUAAUAAUAUAUUUUUAAUAUUGGAAUCAAAUAUUUUUGUCAUUUUAAUUCAGUCAGUUAGCAACAUCUAGACGCUAACGGCCAAGCUCUAACAAAUUGAGCUACAAAUCUAUUGAAGAAAAAUUUACUCACCUUUUACAAUUAAUUGUUUGAAUUCAUAUAAAUUAAUUGAGCUACAAGUUUAUGUAUUGAAGAAAAAUAAAUAGGUUCGCCUUUUACAAAGAGAAGUAAAAUGUAUGGUUCUGUUUACACAUUUUUAGUAGUGAACACUAAACGAUAUAGAUUAUUCUUAAAAUUUAGGGGAAGUAGAACAAGAAUUUGAAUGUGCUCGGACAAUUUUCCGAUUACUUUUCAAGAUAAAUUGUAAUUAAUUUAGUUGCACUUUUUUUAUUCAAAUUGAUACACGCGAGAUUAUAUUUCAAUAGAAAUCUCAAUAUCACGUGAAGUACAAACUUGAGAUAAAGGACACAACGAUUAUCAUAAGUUUUGCCAAUUUUUGCCAAAUUGUUCUUAUACUAAAAGGACAAUCAUUUAAUUUAUCAAAUUUAAAUUUCUUUCUCUUUUUACAGUUCAAAACUAAUCAUUUUGACAGUUGUUUUUAAUACAAUCAAAUCCGGCUUUAUUUGUGGCUAGUUGCGAUUAAUUUACUAGGUAUAUAAUUUACUUUAUGGUACAACUUUUCCAUGAUUCCAAUUUGGCAAUUUCGACAAAUGGCUUUCUUUUUGGUCCAUUUUGUCAUUUGGUCUAUCAACUUGAUCAUCUUUAAGUUGUAACACGCCCUUCAAACAUGGUUGUCUUUAUGAAUAUUACAACUUGUUAGUAUCAAAUUGUUAUCUAUUUUAUAUCCUGCAAUAGUAUGAAUCAUAAAAAAUAAUAUACUUGACCAAUGAGUUCGAAAUAUUGUUUUCAUGAAUACUACUAUCUAAUUGUUGAAUAAAUAAUUCAACUUCAAUUUGAUUGAAAACAAAUAGAAGUAACUAUUUUCUUUUUGUGAUUUUUUUUUAAAUUGUAAAUAUUUCAAAAACUAAAAAAGUAAAUUUCACCAUAGUUAUCCCCUCAAUCUCAAUUAUCAAUUUUUUUUAAUAAUUAAUUAUAUAAACACGUUGAAUUCUUUAAUGUAUUCAAUUUACAUAUAUCGAGGUCAAAUUGAUUUUAUUUAACUAAUUUAAUUUCACAUUUCUAUGUUAAAUCUAUAUAUACCUUAAUUAAACGCCUUAAAACUCUAAGAACCAUUUAAUGAUGACUCUAACUAGAAAAUGUAUAUCUACAUUUGUAUACUAAUUGUUGAAUUUUACUGCGUGGUAUAAACAAAUAUUCCACUUCUUGAUGUAAUUAUCACUCACAAAUCAAUGAAUUAGUGGCCAGUUAAUUCGAAGUGUUAAAAAUAGAAGUAAAAUAAUUCACAACAUCAAUUAGAGAUUUGAAACUUUUUAUAAAGAUAAGGCUCAAAACUAUAUUACAAUUAUUCAUUUUAACUCAUUAUUUAAUUAAAUAUUAUGGGAGAAAAAUACAAGAAGGAAUUAAAGUAUAUCACUAAUUUUUUUUUAAAAAAAAAUAGAAAGAAAAGAAAAGAAAAAAUGAAAAAGAUGAAGAUCUUGCUCCAAGAUUCCACCUUUUUAUUUAUUUAUUUAUUAUUAUUAUUAUUAUUAUUUUGUAAAAGCCUUGAAACUUUAACUUCUUGAUUGAUUUCUUGAUUCUUUCCUCUUUUUGAGCUCUCUUUUCUUGUGAUUUGUAUGGCUUUUAUUUAAAGAGGCCUAUUUGGCUUGUAUAAUAUUUGUACAAUAAUUCACCAAGCAUCAGCCUGUAUAUAUAUGUAUAAUGAACCCUACAAGCCUUAUCUAAUUGUUGGACUAAGACAUGCAUUUAUAGAACAAGAUUUAAGCAAAAUCCUAGUACAAAUUGAUUUCCACAAAGAGUUUAAAAAGAAAAAUGAAACAAUUCACCUUUUCAAUUGGAUUACUUGACUCAUGUAAAUUUAGUCCUUCAUCUCUAAUAUUUUACAAUUACGUCAUUUUCAUUUCAAAAUCAUUAAUAAUUGAACAGAUGAAAGUUCAAAAGUUUGCAAGUUAAUGCCCAAACUUUCUAAACAUCGAAUUUGAUUCCCAUAACUUAUGAAUUUUUACCGAAUGCUUCAUUAAUAAUUCCAAUUGAUCAUUUGCAAUCCAGUUAAUCUUUAAUUAAUUUGAAUAAACUUUCAUUAAGUUCAUAGUUUCAUUUUUUUUACCCCAAUUGUGUUCAAGUUAAAAAUUUUCCUACCACAAUUACACAAAUUAAGUAGAUAAUCGCUCAAUUUAAGUACAAUUAAAUAAGAUCUAGAAGUUCGAAUAAAAACAUAGAACCCUAGGUUGAGUUACACCUCAAUUGCUUUUUACUAAAAGGUUCUUUCACAAAGCUUUUAAUAAAUGUUUUAGUAGAAAUUGCUAUGAAUGAUGAAAUAUGUGAUUAAAAUAAUAAUAAAAAAUAUGAAUCACAUGAAAUGUGUAGUUAAUAUUAAUUAUUAACUUUAACUUUUCAAAAUAUAACAAGCAAGCACUAAAACAAUUUGACAAUUAAUAGUCUCUCUCUCUCUCUCUCUCUCUCUCUCUCUCUCUAUAUGCCAUUUAGAACAACUUGUCUUACUGCACAAGUUUAGGUAACACUAAGUAUUAUUAAAUAAAAUGUACAAUUAAAUGAAUCAUAUAAUUUUACCUUUAUUGAACCUAUCAUAUAAUGCUAUAUAGAAGGGUGCUUUAGCAAUACUAAUCCUAGACAACAUUAUUCAUUUUAUAAAAAAAUGAUAAAAUGUGUGAUUAAAAAGUUGAUAAAAAUUUUGAAUUUCAUAAAAGGUGUAUUAUAAAUUAACUGUUGACUUUGACUUAAAUUAUUCAUUAAACAUGAACUUAAUAACUUUUGGUCUAUGUAGGUAAUUCGUUCCAACCUUUAAAAGCGGACUCGACAUUCUAUACAUUAUACAAUAAAAAAUCUCAGAGUGGUUUUGGAUAGCUUUCGAUAAAAUUUUUGGCAAUUUUGAUAAAAGUUAAUGUAAUAUUUAAUAGAAAAUUUGAUAAAAGUUACUAGUCUUACGAGUGUGGUUAAAAAUAAAAUUUCAUCUCUUUAAAUUUUUACUAGCUCUCUCUCUCUCUCUCUCUCUCUCAAUUUUCUACUGCCCACUCUCCCCCAGUUUCAAUGAUAAUUCUUACGUACAAUUUAUUCACACGCGCUUGUUGGGUCAAGUAGGCAGACAUUAUUAUGUGUGUAAAAAGAGUUACUAAGCCCUAGUUUGAUUAUUUUUUAGAAUAGAUUUUGUAAAAAACAUAAUUUUUCUUUAGAGAAUGUAUAGAUAAAGAUGAUAUUAGGUAAAAAGAAAAAAAAAAGAACAUUAAAGAAUGAAGUUCAAACAAGGGCUAAAUAUAUAAAGUUUGAGAUUAUAAGGGAAUUUAGUAAGAAAAUUUAAAAAAUAAACAAAAAGAGAUUUCACGUGAUAGAACACAUGCGGGGGAGGGAGGGAGGGAGGGAAUUUGAUGCUCCAAACUUCCAAAUUUUCUAUCAUAUUUUUCAACGUCUCAUUGGUUGGUGGACACAUUAUUUAAUCAAAUCAAAAAGUAAUUUUUGAACUAGAAAAUUGAAUAAAGUAAGAAAAAUAAUUUUUUAUUUUAUUAUAUUUUGUUGUAUUCUAUAGAAUUUCUAGAUGCUACCAAAUUUCUAUUUAUAGACAUAAAAUAGUACCAUCCAUAUAUAAUAAGAAUUUCACUUUCAAAUAGGAGUCUCAAUUAAUCCCUUGUUUAAUAGCAAUUGCUGGGGAAAAAAAUGAUGUUCUGAAUAGUAAUUCUUUGAAGAAUUUGUAGUUACAAAAAGGAAAAAAUUUGAAUUUAUGGUAAAAUAUUUUAUUUUGUGAAUGUGUAAUUGAAGAUGAGUAUGAAAAUUAAAGAAUUUUGUUUUAAAAGAAGACAAACAAAGGUUAAAAUCCAAAUAUGAGUUGUAAUUAAAGUUCAAAUUUAAUUGGUUUUAUUUAAUUACAUUUGUAGUACUAGAACUUCAAUUAAAAUUCCAAUUAAGUUUACAACUUUCAUACCAAUUACAUAUAAAUCCAAAAUUUUAUUAUAAUUAUAAUUAAGUCCAAAACUUUUAUAAUGAUUAUAAUUAAGUUCUAAUACUUUAUAAACUUACCACAUAAUUCUGCUCGAACAUAUAUUAUCCAAGCUUUAAUAAUUAAAUCAUGUAUAGUCGACUCUAGAUCACUCGAUCUAAUUAUUUGUCUUUGCCUAAUCAUCUAAAGGUAAAAGACUGAACUUUCUAAAUAUAUAAAAUCACAUAAACCCAUAAAUUUAUAAUAUUUUCCUUAAAACGGUCAUAGAUGUAUUUUAUUUUUGCUUGAGAUUCAAUAAUUUGGUACGCAAAUAAAUGAUCAUUUACUCUUCUAAUGAUUCUCACUUACUUAAGUACAAUUUUCUUCAAUGCUUUUGUGAACUAAUCAGGAUCUCAAAAUUUAACAGUCGCUAAACAUUGAGUUUGUAUUUCAACUAUUCAAUAGAAAAUAUUUAAGUAUUCACUCUAUCUAUGUUUAAGGGCGAUGGCUCCCGACACAUUCAAAUUCUCUACUUCGUUCAUCUCAAGCUUCCAAUUCACCGAGAUAUUUGAUUAAUUUCAAUUGAUCUCACCCAUUGGUAAAUAAAAAACUGUUAAAGUCAUGAAAAAAUAUGCAAGACCCAGUUAAAUAAUUUAGAUAAAAUACACGACGAUCAAAUGAAAUUUUAUUCCUUCGCAAGUUCAUGCUAUAGAGUUAAACUUCACACUUGAUCCGUUCAAGAUUCUCUAAGUGUACUAGUAUCAAAUUUAACCAUUUUUGUGAUGAGGACAAAUCACAAAUCCGUAUAGUAAAUCAAUCAAUACUACAACCUUUCAGUACAAGGUACCACGGUUAUCCAUUGGUUGUGAACAAAUUAUUAUGAUCAAAAUAAGUUGUUUCACACUGUUCUUCUCAACACAAGUACCUCAACUACAUUAUCACAAAUGAUUUUAAUCACUUUAAUUCGCAUGCUCAAUAAUAAAUUAAUGUAAUAAAUAAAAUUAUUAUAAAAUAUUAUUUUAUUAUAGCAAAAUACGCUAUUUGGGCAUACAACCUAACAAAUUCCCCAUUUUUCCUAAAGUAUAUUUUGUCAUGUCUUACAACAUCAUAUCUUACAGCUGCUCUAAAAAAUCUUUGCCAAUAAGCUCUUAAUAAGCGAUUUUGCAAGAUUAUCUCCAUUAGCAAUCUUACUAACAAUCACAUUUCUUCAACUAUCUCUCUUAAGAGUUGGUAUUGUCGUAUAAUGCAUUUACUAUUAUGAUGACUCCAGGUUCUUUAGCAUUUACCAUAGUCUCACUAUUAUCACAGUAGAGUGCUAAGGGUUUCACAGAUGUAGGUAUCACAUCGAUGUCCAUUAGGAUUUUCUGAGAUAUACAACCAAUUUAGUAACUUCACAAGUUGUCAAAUAUUUGGUAUUGAUGAUGGAAUCAACAAUUCAUGUUGCUUGAUAUUUCUCCAAAUAAUGGGCCUACCAUAAAUUUUGAAUCCUUUUAACCCAUUGAAAAAAAAAUCUGACAAAGAGCACAUAAUUCCUUAUUCUUCGGAUGUGCUGAAGGAUAUGAUUUAUUGCCCUUCAAUGUUUCGAUCCAAGAGUUAGAUACUAUCGACUUACCAUACCAACAAUAUAACAAAUGUCAGGUAUAUUGUACAGCAUAACAUGAAUGGGACUACAAUUGUCAAUGCAUAAGGUAUCAUACUCAUGUGCUCCAACUCUUUAGAAGUCUUAGGGGACCAAUCCUUAGAGAGCUAGAUUUCAUGUUUAAAGGGCAUAUUACCCAUUUGGAAUUUUUCAUGGCAUAUCUGAUAAGUAUUUUGUCAAUAUAUGUAGCUUGAGAUAAAGCUAUUAACUUGUUCAUUCUAUCUCUUAAGACUUGAAAACCUAGAACAUUGCUAGCUUCAAUUAAGUCUUUCAUAUGAAUUUGUUGGGCCGACUACGCUUCCGUAGACGUUAAUGCUCCCACAUUAUUUCCAAUGAGUAGAAUAUAAUUCACAUAUAGCACCAGUAAAAUUACAUUUUUGUCCUAUAUUUUCUUAUAAACAUAGGGUUUGUCGAAGUUCUGAUCAAUACCAUAUGUCUUACUCACCUCGUCGAAUAUUUUGUUUUAAGGUCUUGAUGUCUGCUUCAAUCCAUAAGUGGAUCGUUGUAUCCAUGUCAUCCAUAGUUUGCGUAUAUGAAGUCAGAUAAUCAACUUGUACUAUGAAAAUUGCCAAAUUGGACUCUCCAAUCAACAAAUGCCUAGAAAGAGAAACUAAUGACCAUUUGACUUGUCUAAAAGGUAGUCGAUCUUGGACUAUGGCAUCAUUUGGAAUCUUUAUUAUUUUUAUUAAUGCAGAGAUUACCAUUAGGUGAUGUAAUUACCUUUUCAUUACCUUCAAUUUUCUUUUGAUUUAUAAAAUCAAAUGACAACUCAUGACUCCCACUCUAAUCAUGUUGUCCAGGUAUAAUUGAUACCAUGGGAUGUCGAUCCCUAGGCUGUGUUCCAAGAAUCGACGAGAUGGAAUUGCUUCAAUUCAUUUCUUCCAACAAGAUCUUACUUUUGGACAAGCGUUCAUUAAUAUACUUAUCCUUCAGGAAUAUUGCAUUUCUGCCAACAAAGACAUUCCUAUCUAGAAGACUAUAAAAUAAUAUCUAUUGGUAUCUUUAAGGUAUCCCACAAAUAUGCAUAUCUCUGACUUAGACUUCAACUUUUCUAUUUUCCAUUCACUCAUUGAAUGGAUUCCAAAUUUUGGAUGUGACACAAAAAGGACUUGAGUCUAAAAUUUUAGGGAGUCUUGAAAAUAGAUUUAGAAGGAACUAAGUUAAGAAUAUAUAUAGCUGUUUCUAGAGUAUAUCCUAAAAAUUUAAAUUACAUAUGUUUAAUUAUUAUAAACUUUUCCUCUAAAAAAAUUUAAUCUAAACUAAAUUAAUUGGGAGAAAGCUGAUUUCCAAUGAGAUGCUAUUUAUAGUAUUACGCGCGAUAUCACAAAUAAAUCUAUAUAUAUCAUGAUAUCUAGAAUGAUAAAUGUUUCAAAUAUAAAUUAAAGCAUGCAUAAACCAUAAAUUAACAAUUAUUUGUGGAAAUUGGUAGUAUUAACCACUAUAUAGUAGUCAGUAAUGAAAAAUUUCACUUACAUUUUAUUUCCUAGCUAGUGCAUUUGGACAAUCUUUCUCCGAUUUUUUUCCAUCGUAGUUAGAAUAUUUAUGUCUCAAGUUUCCAUUUGCUUUGGACCUUUAGUUGCUCUCAUGCUUCUUGUUAGCUUUUUUCUACUUUUUUUUUCCAAAUCUGCCUUUCGACUUAGAACCAAAUGAGCUACCAAAUGAUACACAAGUACCACCAUUGUAUCUUUAAGAUCACUUUCUACAUUAUAAAUCUAUCAUAAGCUCAACUAAUUGUAUCAUCAUCUUGUAUAAGUGAUAUUCUACAUUAAAUUUUAAAAGUAUAUUAGUUAAAGAAUUGAAUACUAUGCCAAAUUGAGUUUCCUUGAUAGAUGUUGCAUCCAGACUCUCAACUAUGUUUGAAAUGUACGAUCAUAGUAAACUAUGAAACUUCACAAGCAAUUUUGAUUUCAUACAAACGUUCUUAAAAGUACGAAUGGCUUCAAAAGAGCCUCCUUAUUUUGAUGACCAAACGUGUGCUAAAAGGUCUGUAGUAUGUCAUAUGAUGUAAUCUUACUUUCAAGAUUUGCUGCAAUGCGUUUGAUAUCGAAAUCAAAAUGUAAUAGCGAGUCAUCUUGUCUACAGUUACAUACUCAGCAUAUGUAGUCCUUUUAGGAAGUUCGUAUUUGAUCUUGAUUUAAGUGUAUAACCAUUGUCUAGAUCUUUAGAUAUUUGAAAAUAUUUUUUUCAUAUAUAGGAUGUUCACAAAUUAUAUUCUAUUUAAAUGAUUUUAUUAUAAGGAAAUCCAGUCAUGCAACUUAAAAUUACGCAGUACUCAUAUCCAUUGCAUUAUCAAUAAUGGACAAACAUGUUACUUUGCUUAUGUAUUGACAGAAGGAGACGGUUGGUUUUUAUUUAAGUAAACACCAUUUCCUACUCAAUAUUUUAAAUUGACGAAUUUUAAUUAUAAUAAUUAUAACAUGUUCACAUUAUUUAAAUUACAUAUGUUUAAUUAUUAUAAACUUUUCCUCUAAAAAAAUUUAAUCUAAACUAAAUUAAUUGGGAGAAAGCUGAUUUCCAAUGAGAUGCUAUUUAUAGUAUUACGUGCGAUAUCACAAAUAAAUCUAUAUAUAUAUCAUGAUAUCUAGAAUGAUAAAUGUUUCAAAUAUAAAUUAAAGCAUGCAUAAACCAUAAAUUAACAAUUAUUUGUGGAAAUUGGUAGUAUUAACCACUAUAUAGUAGUCAGUAAUGAAAAAUUUCACUUACAUUUUAUUUCCUAGCUAGUGCAUUUGGACAAUCUUUCUCCGAUUUUUUUCCAUCGUAGUUAGAAUAUUUAUGUCUCAAGUUUCCAUUUGCUUUGGACCUUUAGUUGCUCUCAUGCUUCUUGUUAGCUUUUUUCUACUUUUUUUUUCCAAAUCUGCCUUUCGACUUAGAACCAAAUGAGCUACCAAAUGAUACACAAGUACCACCAUUGUAUCUUUAAGAUCACUUUCUACAUUAUAAAUCUAUCAUAAGCUCAACUAAUUGUAUCAUCAUCUUGUAUAAGUGAUAUUCUACAUUAAAUUUUAAAAGUAUAUUAGUUAAAGAAUUGAAUACUAUGCCAAAUUGAGUUUCCUUGAUAGAUGUUGCAUCCAGACUCUCAACUAUGUUUGAAAUGUACGAUCAUAGUAAACUAUGAAACUUCACAAGCAAUUUUGAUUUCAUACAAACGUUCUUAAAAGUACGAAUGGCUUCAAAAGAGCCUCCUUAUUUUGAUGACCAAACGUGUGCUAAAAGGUCUGUAGUAUGUCAUAUGAUGUAAUCUUACUUUCAAGAUUUGCUGCAAUGCGUUUGAUAUCGAAAUCAAAAUGUAAUAGCGAGUCAUCUUGUCUACAGUUACAUACUCAGCAUAUGUAGUCCUUUUAGGAAGUUCGUAUUUGAUCUUGAUUUAAGUGUAUAACCAUUGUCUAGAUCUUUAGAUAUUUGAAAAUAUUUUUUUCAUAUAUAGGAUGUUCACAAAUUAUAUUCUAUUUAAAUGAUUUUAUUAUAAGGAAAUCCAGUCAUGCAACUUAAAAUUACGCAGUACUCAUAUCCAUUGCAUUAUCAAUAAUGGACAAACAUGUUACUUUGCUUAUGUAUUGACAGAAGGAGACGGUUGGUUUUUAUUUAAGUAAACACCAUUUCCUACUCAAUAUUUUAAAUUGACGAAUUUUAAUUAUAAUAAUUAUAACAUGUUCACAUUAUUUAAAUUACAUAUGUUUAAUUAUUAUAAACUUUUCCUCUAAAAAAAUUUAAUCUAAACUAAAUUAAUUGGGAGAAAGCUGAUUUCCAAUGAGAUGCUAUUUAUAGUAUUACGUGCGAUAUCACAAAUAAAUCUAUAUAUAUAUCAUGAUAUCUAGAAUGAUAAAUGUUUCAAAUAUAAAUUAAAGCAUGCAUAAACCAUAAAUUAACAAUUAUUUGUGGAAAUUGGUAGUAUUAACCACUAUAUAGUAGUCAGUAAUGAAAAAUUUCACUUACAUUUUAUUUCCUAGCUAGUGCAUUUGGACAAUCUUUCUCCGAUUUUUUUCCAUCGUAGUUAGAAUAUUUAUGUCUCAAGUUUCCAUUUGCUUUGGACCUUUAGUUGCUCUCAUGCUUCUUGUUAGCUUUUUUCUACUUUUUUUUUCCAAAUCUGCCUUUCGACUUAGAACCAAAUGAGCUACCAAAUGAUACACAAGUACCACCAUUGUAUCUUUAAGAUCACUUUCUACAUUAUAAAUCUAUCAUAAGCUCAACUAAUUGUAUCAUCAUCUUGUAUAAGUGAUAUUCUACAUUAAAUUUUAAAAGUAUAUUAGUUAAAGAAUUGAAUACUAUGCCAAAUUGAGUUUCCUUGAUAGAUGUUGCAUCCAGACUCUCAACUAUGUUUGAAAUGUACGAUCAUAGUAAACUAUGAAACUUCACAAGCAAUUUUGAUUUCAUACAAACGUUCUUAAAAGUACGAAUGGCUUCAAAAGAGCCUCCUUAUUUUGAUGACCAAACGUGUGCUAAAAGGUCUGUAGUAUGUCAUAUGAUGUAAUCUUACUUUCAAGAUUUGCUGCAAUGCGUUUGAUAUCGAAAUCAAAAUGUAAUAGCGAGUCAUCUUGUCUACAGUUACAUACUCAGCAUAUGUAGUCCUUUUAGGAAGUUCGUAUUUGAUCUUGAUUUAAGUGUAUAACCAUUGUCUAGAUCUUUAGAUAUUUGAAAAUAUUUUUUUCAUAUAUAGGAUGUUCACAAAUUAUAUUCUAUUUAAAUGAUUUUAUUAUAAGGAAAUCCAGUCAUGCAACUUAAAAUUACGCAGUACUCAUAUCCAUUGCAUUAUCAAUAAUGGACAAACAUGUUACUUUGCUUAUGUAUUGACAGAAGGAGACGGUUGGUUUUUAUUUAAGUAAACACCAUUUCCUACUCAAUAUUUUAAAUUGACGAAUUUUAAUUAUAAUAAUUAUAACAUGUUCACAUUAUUUAAAUUACAUAUGUUUAAUUAUUAUAAACUUUUCCUCUAAAAAAAUUUAAUCUAAACUAAAUUAAUUGGGAGAAAGCUGAUUUCCAAUGAGAUGCUAUUUAUAGUAUUACGUGCGAUAUCACAAAUAAAUCUAUAUAUAUAUCAUGAUAUCUAGAAUGAUAAAUGUUUCAAAUAUAAAUUAAAGCAUGCAUAAACCAUAAAUUAACAAUUAUUUGUGGAAAUUGGUAGUAUUAACCACUAUAUAGUAGUCAGUAAUGAAAAAUUUCACUUACAUUUUAUUUCCUAGCUAGUGCAUUUGGACAAUCUUUCUCCGAUUUUUUUCCAUCGUAGUUAGAAUAUUUAUGUCUCAAGUUUCCAUUUGCUUUGGACCUUUAGUUGCUCUCAUGCUUCUUGUUAGCUUUUUUCUACUUUUUUUUUCCAAAUCUGCCUUUCGACUUAGAACCAAAUGAGCUACCAAAUGAUACACAAGUACCACCAUUGUAUCUUUAAGAUCACUUUCUACAUUAUAAAUCUAUCAUAAGCUCAACUAAUUGUAUCAUCAUCUUGUAUAAGUGAUAUUCUACAUUAAAUUUUAAAAGUAUAUUAGUUAAAGAAUUGAAUACUAUGCCAAAUUGAGUUUCCUUGAUAGAUGUUGCAUCCAGACUCUCAACUAUGUUUGAAAUGUACGAUCAUAGUAAACUAUGAAACUUCACAAGCAAUUUUGAUUUCAUACAAACGUUCUUAAAAGUACGAAUGGCUUCAAAAGAGCCUCCUUAUUUUGAUGACCAAACGUGUGCUAAAAGGUCUGUAGUAUGUCAUAUGAUGUAAUCUUACUUUCAAGAUUUGCUGCAAUGCGUUUGAUAUCGAAAUCAAAAUGUAAUAGCGAGUCAUCUUGUCUACAGUUACAUACUCAGCAUAUGUAGUCCUUUUAGGAAGUUCGUAUUUGAUCUUGAUUUAAGUGUAUAACCAUUGUCUAGAUCUUUAGAUAUUUGAAAAUAUUUUUUUCAUAUAUAGGAUGUUCACAAAUUAUAUUCUAUUUAAAUGAUUUUAUUAUAAGGAAAUCCAGUCAUGCAACUUAAAAUUACGCAGUACUCAUAUCCAUUGCAUUAUCAAUAAUGGACAAACAUGUUACUUUGCUUAUGUAUUGACAGAAGGAGACGGUUGGUUUUUAUUUAAGUAAACACCAUUUCCUACUCAAUAUUUUAAAUUGACGAAUUUUAAUUAUAAUAAUUAUAACAUGUUCACAUUAUUUAAAUUACAUAUGUUUAAUUAUUAUAAACUUUUCCUCUAAAAAAAUUUAAUCUAAACUAAAUUAAUUGGGAGAAAGCUGAUUUCCAAUGAGAUGCUAUUUAUAGUAUUACGUGCGAUAUCACAAAUAAAUCUAUAUAUAUAUCAUGAUAUCUAGAAUGAUAAAUGUUUCAAAUAUAAAUUAAAGCAUGCAUAAACCAUAAAUUAACAAUUAUUUGUGGAAAUUGGUAGUAUUAACCACUAUAUAGUAGUCAGUAAUGAAAAAUUUCACUUACAUUUUAUUUCCUAGCUAGUGCAUUUGGACAAUCUUUCUCCGAUUUUUUUCCAUCGUAGUUAGAAUAUUUAUGUCUCAAGUUUCCAUUUGCUUUGGACCUUUAGUUGCUCUCAUGCUUCUUGUUAGCUUUUUUCUACUUUUUUUUUCCAAAUCUGCCUUUCGACUUAGAACCAAAUGAGCUACCAAAUGAUACACAAGUACCACCAUUGUAUCUUUAAGAUCACUUUCUACAUUAUAAAUCUAUCAUAAGCUCAACUAAUUGUAUCAUCAUCUUGUAUAAGUGAUAUUCUACAUUAAAUUUUAAAAGUAUAUUAGUUAAAGAAUUGAAUACUAUGCCAAAUUGAGUUUCCUUGAUAGAUGUUGCAUCCAGACUCUCAACUAUGUUUGAAAUGUACGAUCAUAGUAAACUAUGAAACUUCACAAGCAAUUUUGAUUUCAUACAAACGUUCUUAAAAGUACGAAUGGCUUCAAAAGAGCCUCCUUAUUUUGAUGACCAAACGUGUGCUAAAAGGUCUGUAGUAUGUCAUAUGAUGUAAUCUUACUUUCAAGAUUUGCUGCAAUGCGUUUGAUAUCGAAAUCAAAAUGUAAUAGCGAGUCAUCUUGUCUACAGUUACAUACUCAGCAUAUGUAGUCCUUUUAGGAAGUUCGUAUUUGAUCUUGAUUUAAGUGUAUAACCAUUGUCUAGAUCUUUAGAUAUUUGAAAAUAUUUUUUUCAUAUAUAGGAUGUUCACAAAUUAUAUUCUAUUUAAAUGAUUUUAUUAUAAGGAAAUCCAGUCAUGCAACUUAAAAUUACGCAGUACUCAUAUCCAUUGCAUUAUCAAUAAUGGACAAACAUGUUACUUUGCUUAUGUAUUGACAGAAGGAGACGGUUGGUUUUUAUUUAAGUAAACACCAUUUCCUACUCAAUAUUUUAAAUUGACGAAUUUUAAUUAUAAUAAUUAUAACAUGUUCACAUUAUUUAAAUUACAUAUGUUUAAUUAUUAUAAACUUUUCCUCUAAAAAAAUUUAAUCUAAACUAAAUUAAUUGGGAGAAAGCUGAUUUCCAAUGAGAUGCUAUUUAUAGUAUUACGUGCGAUAUCACAAAUAAAUCUAUAUAUAUAUCAUGAUAUCUAGAAUGAUAAAUGUUUCAAAUAUAAAUUAAAGCAUGCAUAAACCAUAAAUUAACAAUUAUUUGUGGAAAUUGGUAGUAUUAACCACUAUAUAGUAGUCAGUAAUGAAAAAUUUCACUUACAUUUUAUUUCCUAGCUAGUGCAUUUGGACAAUCUUUCUCCGAUUUUUUUCCAUCGUAGUUAGAAUAUUUAUGUCUCAAGUUUCCAUUUGCUUUGGACCUUUAGUUGCUCUCAUGCUUCUUGUUAGCUUUUUUCUACUUUUUUUUUCCAAAUCUGCCUUUCGACUUAGAACCAAAUGAGCUACCAAAUGAUACACAAGUACCACCAUUGUAUCUUUAAGAUCACUUUCUACAUUAUAAAUCUAUCAUAAGCUCAACUAAUUGUAUCAUCAUCUUGUAUAAGUGAUAUUCUACAUUAAAUUUUAAAAGUAUAUUAGUUAAAGAAUUGAAUACUAUGCCAAAUUGAGUUUCCUUGAUAGAUGUUGCAUCCAGACUCUCAACUAUGUUUGAAAUGUACGAUCAUAGUAAACUAUGAAACUUCACAAGCAAUUUUGAUUUCAUACAAACGUUCUUAAAAGUACGAAUGGCUUCAAAAGAGCCUCCUUAUUUUGAUGACCAAACGUGUGCUAAAAGGUCUGUAGUAUGUCAUAUGAUGUAAUCUUACUUUCAAGAUUUGCUGCAAUGCGUUUGAUAUCGAAAUCAAAAUGUAAUAGCGAGUCAUCUUGUCUACAGUUACAUACUCAGCAUAUGUAGUCCUUUUAGGAAGUUCGUAUUUGAUCUUGAUUUAAGUGUAUAACCAUUGUCUAGAUCUUUAGAUAUUUGAAAAUAUUUUUUUCAUAUAUAGGAUGUUCACAAAUUAUAUUCUAUUUAAAUGAUUUUAUUAUAAGGAAAUCCAGUCAUGCAACUUAAAAUUACGCAGUACUCAUAUCCAUUGCAUUAUCAAUAAUGGACAAACAUGUUACUUUGCUUAUGUAUUGACAGAAGGAGACGGUUGGUUUUUAUUUAAGUAAACACCAUUUCCUACUCAAUAUUUUAAAUUGACGAAUUUUAAUUAUAAUAAUUAUAACAUGUUCACAUUAUUUAAAUUACAUAUGUUUAAUUAUUAUAAACUUUUCCUCUAAAAAAAUUUAAUCUAAACUAAAUUAAUUGGGAGAAAGCUGAUUUCCAAUGAGAUGCUAUUUAUAGUAUUACGUGCGAUAUCACAAAUAAAUCUAUAUAUAUAUCAUGAUAUCUAGAAUGAUAAAUGUUUCAAAUAUAAAUUAAAGCAUGCAUAAACCAUAAAUUAACAAUUAUUUGUAUGAAAAAUUAAAAAAAAAAUUAAAAAAAAAUAAAAUUAAAAGAAUGAGUUUCCAACGAGGGCUAAAUUUAUAAAGUUACUAUAAAAAAAAAAACUUAAUAUGGUGUAUACAUCUCCAGAAUAAUGAAGUUUGGCAUAGAAACUAUUGGAACUGGAAGUAGAAUUACUUGGAAAUUAAAAAAAUUCUUUAAUUCAAGAAAUAAGAAUAAAGGAAUCAAAUUUUUACUUAAAUUCGGUUGCUAAUUGUUGAAUUAAUUAUAAAUCACGAACUUCAUUAUUAUUUUUUUAAUCACGAACUUCCAACUUUUUAAUACCAAUAAUUUGAUGCUCCAAACUUCCAAAUUUUCUAUCAUAUUUUUCAACGUCUCAUUGGUUGGUGGACACAUUAUUUAAUCAAAUCAAAAAGUAAUUUUUGAACUAGAAAAUUGAAUAAAGUAAGAAAAAUAAUUUUUUAUUUUAUUAUAUUUUGUUGUAUUCUAUAGAAUUUCUAGAUGCUACCAAAUUUCUAUUUAUAGACAUAAAAUAGUACCAUCCAUAUAUAAUAAGAAUUUCACUUUCAAAUAGGAGUCUCAAUUAAUCCCUUGUUUAAUAGCAAUUGCUGGGGAAAAAAAUGAUGUUCUGAAUAGUAAUUCUUUGAAGAAUUUGUAGUUACAAAAAGGAAAAAAUUUGAAUUUAUGGUAAAAUAUUUUAUUUUGUGAAUGUGUAAUUGAAGAUGAGUAUGAAAAUUAAAGAAUUUUGUUUUAAAAGAAGACAAACAGAGGUUAAAAUCCAAAUAUGAGUUGUAAUUAAAGUUCAAAUUUAAUUGGUUUUAUUUAAUUACAUUUGUAGUACUAGAAGUUCAAUUAAAAUUCCAAUUAAGUUUACAACUUUCAUACCAAUUACAUAUAAAUCCAAAAUUUUAUUAUAAUUAUAAUUAAGUCCAAAACUUUUAUAAUGAUUAUAAUUAAGUUCUAAUACUUUAUAAACUUACCACAUAAUUCUGCUCGAACAUAUAUUAUCCAAGCUUUAAUAAUUAAAUCAUGUAUAGUCGACUCUAGAUCACUCGAUCUAAUUAUUUGUCUUUGCCUAAUCAUCUAAAGGUAAAAGACUGAACUUUCUAAAUAUAUAAAAUCACAUAAACCCAUAAAUUUAUAAUAUUUUCCUUAAAACGGUCAUAGAUGUAUUUUAUUUUUGCUUGAGAUUCAAUAAUUUGGUACGCAAAUAAAUGAUCAUUUACUCUUCUAAUGAUUCUCACUUACUUAAGUACAAUUUUCUUCAAUGCUUUUGUGAACUAAUCAGGAUCUCAAAAUUUAACAGUCGCUAAACAUUGAGUUUGUAUUUCAACUAUUCAAUAGAAAAUAUUUAAGUAUUCACUCUAUCUAUGUUUAAGGGCGAUGGCUCCCGACACAUUCAAAUUCUCUACUUCGUUCAUCUCAAGCUUCCAAUUCACCGAGAUAUUUGAUUAAUUUCAAUUGAUCUCACCCAUUGGUAAAUAAAAAACUGUUAAAGUCAUGAAAAAAUAUGCAAGACCCAGUUAAAUAAUUUAGAUAAAAUACACGACGAUCAAAUGAAAUUUUAUUCCUUCGCAAGUUCAUGCUAUAGAGUUAAACUUCACACUUGAUCCGUUCAAGAUUCUCUAAGUGUACUAGUAUCAAAUUUAACCAUUUUUGUGAUGAGGACAAAUCACAAAUCCGUAUAGUAAAUCAAUCAAUACUACAACCUUUCAGUACAAGGUACCACGGUUAUCCAUUGGUUGUGAACAAAUUAUUAUGAUCAAAAUAAGUUGUUUCACACUGUUCUUCUCAACACAAGUACCUCAACUACAUUAUCACAAAUGAUUUUAAUCACUUUAAUUCGCAUGCUCAAUAAUAAAUUAAUGUAAUAAAUAAAAUUAUUAUAAAAUAUUAUUUUAUUAUAGCAAAAUACGCUAUUUGGGCAUACAACCUAACAAAUUCCCCAUUUUUCCUGAAGUAUAUUUUGUCAUGUCUUACAACAUCAUAUCUUACAGCUGCUCUAAAAAAUCUUCGCCAAUAAGCUCUUAAUAAACGAUUUUGCAAGAUUAUCUCCAUUAGCAAUCUUACUAACAAUCACAUUUCUUCAACUAUCUCUCUUAAGAGUUGGUAUUGUCGUAUAAUGCAUUUACUAUUAUGAUGACUCCAGGUUCUUUAGCAUUUACCAUAGUCUCACUAUUAUCACAGUAGAGUGCUAAGGGUUUCACAGAUGUAGGUAUCACAUCGAUGUCCAUUAGGAUUUUCUGAGAUAUACAACCAAUUUAGUAACUUCACAAGUUGUCAAAUAUUUGGUAUUGAUGAUGGAAUCAACAAUUCAUGUUGCUUGAUAUUUCUCCAAAUAAUGGGCCUACCAUAAAUUUUGAAUCCUUUUAACCCAUUGAAAAAAAAAUCUGACAAAGAGCACAUAAUUCCUUAUUCUUCGGAUGUGCUGAAGGAUAUGAUUUAUUGCCCUUCAAUGUUUCGAUCCAAGAGUUAGAUACUAUCGACUUACCAUACCAACAAUAUAACAAAUGUCAGGUAUAUUGUACAGCAUAACAUGAAUGGGACUACAAUUGUCAAUGCAUAAGGUAUCAUACUCAUGUGCUCCAACUCUUUAGAAGUCUUAGGGGACCAAUCCUUAGAGAGCUAGAUUUCAUGUUUAAAGGGCAUAUUACCCAUUUGGAAUUUUUCAUGGCAUAUUUGAUAAGUAUUUUGUCAAUAUAUGUAGCUUGAGAUAAAGCUAUUAACUUGUUCAUUCUAUCUCUUAAGACUUGAAAUCCUAGAACAUUGCUAGCUUCAAUUAAGUCUUUCAUAUGAAUUUGUUGGGCCGACUACGCUUCCGUAGACGUUAAUGCUCCCACAUUAUUUCCAAUGAGUAGAAUAUAAUUCACAUAUAGCACCAGUAAAAUUACAUUUUUGUCCUAUAUUUUCUUAUAAACAUAGGGUUUGUCGAAGUUCUGAUCAAUACCAUAUGUCUUACUCACCUCGUCGAAUAUUUUGUUUUAAGGUCUUGAUGUCUGCUUCAAUCCAUAAGUGGAUCGUUGUAUCCAUGUCAUCCAUAGUUUGCGUAUAUGAAGUCAGAUAAUCAACUUGUACUAUGAAAAUUGCCAAAUUGGACUCUCCAAUCAACAAAUGCCUAGAAAGAGAAACUAAUGACCAUUUGAGUUGUCUAAAAGGUAGUCGAUCUUGGACUAUGGCAUCAUUUGGAAUCUUUAUUAUUUUUAUUAAUGCAGAGAUUACCAUUAGGUGAUGUAAUUACCUUUUCAUUACCUUCAAUUUUCUUUUGAUUUAUAAAAUCAAAUGACAACUCAUGACUCCCACUCUAAUCAUGUUGUCCAGGUAUAAUUGAUACCAUGGGAUGUCGAUCCCUAGGCUGUGUUCCAAGAAUCGACGAGAUGGAAUUGCUUCAAUUCAUUUCUUCCAACAAGAUCUUACUUUUGGACAAGCGUUCAUUAAUAUACUUAUCCUUCAGGAAUAUUGCAUUUCUGCCAACAAAGACAUUCCUAUCUAGAAGACUAUAAAAUAAUAUCUAUUGGUAUCUUUAAGGUAUCCCACAAAUAUGCAUAUCUCUGACUUAGACUUCAACUUUUCUAUUUUCCAUUCACUCAUUGAAUGGAUUCCAAAUUUUGGAUGUGACACAAAAAGGACUUGAGUCUAAAAUUUUAGGGAGCCUUGAAAAUAGAUUUAGAAGGAACUAAGUUAAGAAUAUAUAUAGCUAUUUCUAGAGUAUAUCCUAAAAAUUUAAAUUACAUAUGUUUAAUUAUUAUAAACUUUUCCUCUAAAAAAAUUUAAUCUAAACUAAAUUAAUUGGGAGAAAGCUGAUUUCCAAUGAGAUGCUAUUUAUAGUAUUACGCGCGAUAUCACAAAUAAAUCUAUAUAUAUCAUGAUAUCUAGAAUGAUAAAUGUUUCAAAUAUAAAUUAAAGCAUGCAUAAACCAUAAAUUAACAAUUAUUUGUGGAAAUUGGUAGUAUUAACCACUAUAUAGUAGUCAGUAAUGAAAAAUUUCACUUACAUUUUAUUUCCUAGCUAGUGCAUUUGGACAAUCUUUCUCCGAUUUUUUUCCAUCGUAGUUAGAAUAUUUAUGUCUCAAGUUUCCAUUUGCUUUGGACCUUUAGUUGCUCUCAUGCUUCUUGUUAGCUUUUUUCUACUUUUUUUUUCCAAAUCUGCCUUUCGACUUAGAACCAAAUGAGCUACCAAAUGAUACACAAGUACCACCAUUGUAUCUCUAAGAUCACUUUCUACAUUAUAAAUCUAUCAUAAGCUCAACUAAUUGUAUCAUCAUCUUGUAUAAGUGAUAUUCUACAUUAAAUUUUAAAAGUAUAUUAGUUAAAGAAUUGAAUACUAUGCCAAAUUGAGUUUCCUUGAUAGAUGUUGCAUCCAGACUCUCAACUAUGUUUGAAAUGUACGAUCAUAGUAAACUAUGAAACUUCACAAGCAAUUUUGAUUUCAUACAAACGUUCUUAAAAGUAUGAAUGGCUUCAAAAGAGCCUCCUUAUUUUGAUGACCAAACGUGUGCUAAAAGGUCUGUAGUAUGUCAUAUGAUGUAAUCUUACUUUCAAGAUUUGCUGCAAUGCGUUUGAUAUCGAAAUCAAAAUGUAAUAGCGAGUCAUCUUGUCUACAGUUACAUACUCAACAUAUGUAGUCCUUUUAGGAAGUUCGUAUUUGAUCUUGAUUUAAGUGUAUAACCAUUGUCUAGAUCUUUAGAUAUUUGAAAAUAUUUUUUUCAUAUAUAGGAUGUUCACAAAUUAUAUUCUAUUUAAAUGAUUUUAUUAUAAGGAAAUCCAGUCAUGCAACUUAAAAUUACGCAGUACUCAUAUCCAUUGCAUUAUCAAUAAUGGACAAACAUGUUACUUUGCUUAUGUAUUGACAGAAGGAGACGGUUGGUUUUUAUUUAAGUAAACACCAUUUCCUACUCAAUAUUUUAAAUUGACGAAUUUUAAUUAUAAUAAUUAUAACAUGUUCACAUUAUUUAAAUUACAUAUGUUUAAUUAUUAUAAACUUUUCCUCUAAAAAAAUUUAAUCUAAACUAAAUUAAUUGGGAGAAAGCUGAUUUCCAAUGAGAUGCUAUUUAUAGUAUUACGUGCGAUAUCACAAAUAAAUCUAUAUAUAUAUCAUGAUAUCUAGAAUGAUAAAUGUUUCAAAUAUAAAUUAAAGCAUGCAUAAACCAUAAAUUAACAAUUAUUUGUCGCAAGAAACAAGUUAAGAAUUAAAAAUUAAAAACUAAUUGGAUCCCAGCUCAAUAUUUAAUCUAAAUCUUCAGCCCAAACAAUCUCCAAGGAUUUAACAACAGCAAUCCAAAUAGAAAUAUGAUUCCAUCAACAUAGCCGAAAAUUUUCGAAUUUGAUCAAUCCAUGAAAAAUAGACCCACAUAUGCAAGCACAUUACUAGCUUGUGCCUCAAUUUAAAUUGUGAAUCGUCUUUAUACCCACCACAAUUGUUUUAUUUACUUUGCUAUAGUUGCCAAAUUCCCAAUUAAUUACCAAUGUCAUUAAUAUUUUGUUGUCUAGAAAAUUCAUAUUGAUGGUGGCCCACAUGUUGAGCCUCAAAAUGCAAUUUUUGAACCCAGCCAACAACUUACAAAGUGUAACAUGCAAGCAAGAGAAAUAAAAUACAAGAGGCUUUCACAAAGCCUACAAACCAUAUUUCUAUUAUAGGCUGGUUACAAGCUGUCAAUAAAAAGUACGUGAGCUAAUGAAUAAAGCGUGACUACUAAUAGAAUUAAUUAUUAUAGAGCAAUUAUAGAGCCGCCAUCUAUCAUUAUCUUAAAAUGUCAAACCUUGGAGGGAAAUAUAUAAAUACCCCCUCAUUUGAAGAGCAUGCAAUUCAAAUAUCCCACUCUCAAAUAACAAUUUCUCUUAUUGCCUUAUUUUGAGCAUCAAAACUAGGGAGUUUAGGAAGUAAUAAUCAUAGAUAGGUGAGUAGGAUUUGUUGAUCAGAUUUCUAUUGUUAACAAAUUGGCAUUAUUUGUGAAAAAACUUGCAUAAAGUAGACCACGAAAUCUUAUUAUAUCUGAAAGUUAAAACUCUUGAUAUCUGAAAUUGUGAGUCAAAUUGAGGAGAAAUCAGAGAAAAUAAAAAUGUUAAAAGUGGAAGACAAUGGUUAUAUUGACUUUCCACUGGUUAUGACACUAAUAUUAAUAGACAGAAGGAAAAAAACUCCUGCGAAAGUGCAAGUUGGCGUCUCUCUUGCAAAGAGCUAUCUCUUGCAUAAGAAAAUCGCUACUGCCAAAACCAUUAAGGAUAUGGCUGAGUUUGAAAGCGCUUACUGCAGAGAAUGCUUCUCUAUGGGUGAAGAAAGAGAAUAAAGUGCAGGAUAAAAUUGAAGAAAAUGAAAAUAUUCCAGCUAACAGUGCAUUCCGUAAUGAUAACAGCAGCAUGCAGGCAUAAAAAACCUAGGAAAAUACACCCAAAAAUCAAUGCAAAUGAUAGAGCAGAAACAAGCCUGCCAAGGAAAGGUUUCCAAAGGAGGUUAUCUCACAGGAUAAUAUGAAUAGUCGUUCAAAAGGUUGGAGGUUGAAAGUCUAUUCAAUCUUAGAGCACUUCUCUGGACGAGGUAUAUAAAGGUCGACCUAUAAGGUUGUAGAAACGAAAGACGAUGAUGAACAUCUACCAUUCUCAAGAGAGAUCAAGGAGAGAGCAAUCCCGAGAAAAUUUAAAUCGUUCGGUCAUGGAUAAGUACCUUGACAAAGAAGAUCAUAUGUUCCAUUUGUGUGAGUGCAUGACACAAAUACGACUAGAUAAAGUUAGUCCUGUACUUAAGGUUUCCAUCUUGCUUCGUACGUUCUUCCAAGCGGUGGUAUAGCAAGUUACCUCUAGGUUUGAUCCGAAGUUGGUCAUAGUUAAAACAAACUUUCCCAGGGCAUUUGUAAAAAACAGGAUAGGAUAAACCUCAGCUACUAGGUUAGUGGAAAGAGAUAGGAGGAAGACUAGCCAUUCAAGAGCUACUUUACGCAUUUUAGUGUUGAACUGAUUGCUUAUGAAACAAUACCGAACGAGAAGGCUCGAGAUGCCUUGUGGAAAGGAUUACUGAUGGAGAAUCCCUCCUUCUGAGAUGUCUGUAACAAGAAUCUAGCCUCUUAACAUCAGUCGAUAAGUUUGAUACAAGAUAAGAUCUAGACUGAAGAUACAAUAGAGAAUCGAAAGAAGUAGAACAGGGACGAGUUCUCUUUGGGCAAAGCCUUUGGUAGCCAGCCUGACUUUAUACCUUAUGGGGUCUGAUGAGUUAUUUCUUUCCUUUAACUUGUAAAUCCACUUACAAUGAACAAUUCUAUGAUUAUUAGGACUUCCUCCUUUUUUUCUUUUUUGACCAAAUUCCAUGUCUUAUUUUCAGUUAGGGAUUUCAUUUCUUCCCUCAUUGCAGUUUUCCCAUUUGCAGCAUUUGGGCAAUUCAUAGCUUCCUCAAUGGCAAAAAGUUCUAAAUUCUCUAAUGCUUCACCAGAUGUUAAGGCAAAGUCAGUCAAAUUGUCAAUUUCAUACCUAGGGUUAGGCUUCACUUGCCUUCUUUCCCUAUCUCUCACAAAUUAGUAGUCUUAAUUAAUAAGUUCAGUGUUAGAAUUGUUAGGAGUGGUCCAAUCUCAAGUUCAGUUUCUAUGUUAAGGGAACUACCUUCAUCUUCAUCAGGCUCCCCAAUCCUCUCUGGAGUUUCUUGUGCAGCAUAAUGAGUUAAUGAACGUGGCCAACUUAACUUCAUUAGUAGGAAUGUUUCUUUCAUUUGGCUCAACAUGUUUUUCAAUCUUAUUUUUUAAACAUGGCAUUUCAGAUUCAUUAAACAAAACAUUCCUACUGUUGAUUAUUUUUAUGCCUUUUCCAAGACACAUAGUUUGUAACUCUUUACCCCUUCAGGAUAUCCCUAGCAAAACACACUUUGUUGCCCUAGGAUCUAACAACUCUAAUAUGUGAUAGGUCAGGUGGUUUUCUAGCCUAUAGUUCUUGAGGUGUUUUAAAGCCAACAAAACUGCUAGGGGACCUACUUAUGAGGUAUGCAACUGUUCAAACAACUUCAGCUCAGAACCUUUUUACAAGCCCUAAGCUGAUAAGAAGGCAUUUGACUUUGUUCAUGAGUGUUUUGUUCAUUCUUUCAGCUAACCCAUUUUGUUGGGAUGUGUUUCUAACAAUCCUAUGUCUGACAUCCCUUUUUGUUUAUAGAAGUUCUCAAAUUUAGAAUUAAAGAACUCCUAUGCAUUAUCAAUCCUUAGUGUUUUCAGUUUUUUAUUCAACUGAUUCUCUAUAAUUUUAAGCAAAGUUUUGAAUUUCUAGAAAGCUUCAGAUUCAGCCCUUAAAGGGUAAACCUAGACUUUCCUAGAAGAGUCAUCAAUGAUGGACAUAAAGUAUCCGUUCCCCCCAAAGGUGGGGUGACUUUCAAGUCCCCGCAAGUCAGAAUGAAUAUAAUCCAAAGGUCUAUUAGUGGUAUGAGACCCUAUAUUGAAACUCACCUUAUGGGACUUACCUAAUACACAAGUCUCAAAAAGUUGAAAGGGCUCAAUUAUAUCUUUCCCAAGUAACUUUUGAUUACUUAGAUAUUUUAGGCCCUUAUUGCCAAUAUGUCCUAAUCUAUUACGACAAAAUUCAGACUUAGUUUCAAGUACAGUUAAAGAGCUAUUAUCUUGAGUGGUUAUGGUUUCUUCAGGAAGAUAAUAUAGCCCAUUCUUCUUAGGUUCUUUCAACAUAACAAGUAAUCCCUUCAUCACUUUUAGUAUGUUAUUAUCAGAUUUAAAUGUAUACCCUUCAUCUUCAGGAAUCCCUAAUGAAAUAAGGUUUCUUUUUAAGUUUGGGACAUGCCUAACAUUCUUGAUUUGUCUCACAAUGUCAUCAUGCAUUUUAAUAGCAAUGUCACCAAUUCCCUGUACUAUUUGGGAAUUGUUAUCUCCCAUGUACACUUUCUUGGAUUCAAUUGAUUUGUAAUUGUAGAACCAAGAUCUAUUAGGACUCGUGUGAAAUGUGCAUCUUGAGUUUAAGCUCCAAUCCUUGUCACUAUCAUCAUUAGACACAAUCAUUACAAGAAGACUAUCCAGAUCAUGACUGAUAGUAACAUUGUUCAGGUCAACAAUGCUUUGGUAUUUGUGUUUCCUUUGCACUUCAAAAUAGUCUCUUAAAGUGCCCAAGAUUUUCACAAUGAUAACACUUUUUAAAUUUUCUAUUCUGGGUAUUAUUUUCUUCUUUUCUGUUCUCCCUCUAACAAACACGCCAUCUUCUCUUGUAUUAGAUUUAGUUUCUUUCUUGGCCUUUAGUUCUCUAGCUAUUGAAGCAUUUGUUACUAUAGUCUGAGUUAGAGCAUCUCUUGAGUAUUUUAUGGCAUUUUUUAUAUGCUUAUAAGAUUUAGGUAGUGAGUUAAGUAGUAUAAUGCAAGGUCUUCAUCAUCAAAUUGCUUGUCAUUAUGUGCAAGACUCUUAACUAAAAUACUAAAAUCACUCAAGUUUGUUUCUGGUCUUUCCCAGUGUCCAUCUUAAAACUGAAUAAUUUCUCUAGCAAAUAGAUUUUGUUGGGCAAUGUCUUAAUCAAGAACAAUGAAUCAAGUGCAGUCCAUAAGGCUCUACGUGUUUUAGAAUCUUCAACUUGUCUUAUAAUGUUGUCAGAUAAAUGCUAGAUAAUUGAACUAUAAACAAUUUCAUUCAUUUCUAGAAUUUCAUUAGGUCUAGCUUUUAAUUUAGCAAAAAAAUUUUAGGAUCAUCAAGGGCCUUAGUAACCCUUGGUUGGAUCAAUAUAGCCCUCAUUUUCUGCUUUAAUAUCGAGUAUUCCCAUUUUCCAUCGAAUUGAGACAACUCGAACUUCGAAUCCAUUAUAGGUUCAGUAAAAGGGUGGUGAUUACUUGUGGAUAUAAGUGAUUCUUAAUAGAUGAUCACUUAAGUGCAGGAAAGGUUUUGAAAAAACUUUGCAACAAUUAAAAGGUAAAUUAACUUAAGAAUGACAAUAUAGUAUCAACAAGAGUAUGCAAGCUAUCACAACAAAGUCAACAAGUAUGAAAUUGUUCUUAAAAAUUUAUCAACUAGUGUCACACAAUCUUUAAGAACAACAAAUGCAUGCUUUUUAGUUAUUAUGAGUAAAGUCAAAAUUAGAACAAUUUCACCCAUUGCACGGUUGACUUAUUAAAAUUCAAAUACUUAGACCACCUUUCAAGAAACCCAUUCGAGCCCAAGACACCAAGAUCACCAGUUAUGGCUUUCAGCCACUGUACUUAUUAGAAAAUCGAUCAGUAAUAAUUUCCAAAAAAAUAUUCAAUGUAUACAAAAAUAUGAAUUAAAGUGGAUCAAGAAGAUGAUUCUCUGACAGGAAAUCGUGACUCGAAGUCCUAAUAGCUCUGAUACCAUAUUCGCAAGGAUUUACCCGUUUGUUUCAUUGUUCGUGUGAGA